AUUGAACGCUGGCGGCACGCCUAACACAUGCAAGUCGAGCGGUAACAUGAUCUGUAGCAAUACAGAUUGAUGACGAGCGGCGGACGGGUGAGUAACACGUAGGAACCUGCCCAGGAGCGGGGGAUAACCAAUGGAAACGUUGGCUAAUACCGCAUAUAUUCGAGAGAAGAAAGCUGCCGCAAGGUGGCAAGCUUGGAGGGGCCUGCGUCCGAUUAGCUAGUUGGUGAGGUAAUGGCUCACCAAGGCGAUGAUCGGUAACUGGUCUGAGAGGACGACCAGUCACACUGGGACUGAGACACGGCCCAGACUCCUACGGGAGGCAGCAGUGGGGAAUCUUGGACAAUGGGGGCAACCCUGAUCCAGCGAUGCCGCGUGAGUGAAGAAGGCCCUCGGGUCGUAAAGCUCUUUAGGCUAGGAAGAAGGUUAUGGUAGGCAAUGACUGUAAUUUGACUGUACCAGCAGAAUAAGCACCGGCAAACUCUGUGCCAGCCGCCGCGGUAA
This 501-nucleotide ribosomal RNA is filed under the name uncultured bacterium. RNAcentral's name for it is "partial 16S ribosomal RNA". It matches the Rfam family "Bacterial small subunit ribosomal RNA", at positions 30 to 523 of the family's 1533-position model. The record is from RNAcentral.